Non-coding RNA from Dovyalis caffra, 89 nucleotides. Lineage: Eukaryota; Viridiplantae; Streptophyta; Magnoliopsida; Malpighiales; Salicaceae. The record is from the annotation of a GenBank genome assembly.
GGAGGGAUGGCCGAGUGGCUUAAGGCAUUGGUUUGCUAAAUCGACAUACAAUCUUCUUGUAUCAUGGGUCUCGUAAUCCCAUUUCUCCG